CACAAGUCUGUUAGGGAAUCUUUGUUAACAGCUUCACAUACGUCUUUUGAAUUAUAAAUCGAUAAAUAGUUAAUUCAGUAAUAGAAUUCUUCUGCAUAUUUCAUGUGGCCUACACUCUGAGGGGCUUAGGAUGCUGAUGGCAAAGCAACAGAAGACUGAGGUUCAAGCUUUUUAAACUCCUGUCAGCACUUCUGGAUUCGGUCGACAGUGGGGUAUGGAACACAGGCUAGCCCCUCCUGGCUCCAGCUCCUCUUCCUCUGGGGCCACACAGUGAAGAUGGAGCCCAGUGUACCCUGGGCAUCACUGAUGAAGCGUCUGUACCACCAAUGGCUCUAUUCUGCAGUGGGUUUAUUCCAUGGUACAUAUGGAGAUUCCUUCCACCAUUUGGUUGCUUGAUAUCUUCUACCACGGAGCCAUGACAUAGUCCUCAACCAGGAGAAGCAGAAUUCUGCUGGCGCCCCAGGGCAAGAACACUCAUCCGGAGACUGGCCCAUACACCUAGUGUGUGCAGUGUAUGAUUCCAGCUGUCAAUACCUCUUCAUGAGUCU
RNAcentral lists this long non-coding RNA (548 nucleotides) under Rattus norvegicus (Norway rat). RNAcentral's name for it is "long non-coding RNA NONRATT033288". The record is from RNAcentral. Lineage: Eukaryota; Metazoa; Chordata; Mammalia; Rodentia; Muridae.